RNAcentral lists this ribosomal RNA (196 nucleotides) under Aurantiochytrium sp. RNAcentral describes it as "partial small subunit ribosomal RNA". It matches the Rfam family "Eukaryotic small subunit ribosomal RNA", at positions 57 to 274 of the family's 1831-position model. Lineage: Eukaryota; Bigyra; Thraustochytrida; Thraustochytriidae. The record is from RNAcentral.
GUGUAAGUAUAAGCGAUUGUACUGUGAGACUGCGAACGGCUCAUUAUAUCAGUAAUAAUUUCUUCGGUAGUUUCUUUUAUAUGGAUACCUGCAGGGUUCUGGAAAUAAUACAUGCUGUAAGAGCCCUGUAUGGGGCUGCACUUAUUAGAUUGAAGCCGAUUUUAUUGGUGAAUCAUGAUAAUUGAGCAGAUUGACU